AAAAAUGUUUAAAAUCCAGAAUGUUUCCAUUGUCAUUUUGGUUACCUUAAAAAACUAUCUUUGUAUAUGUACUAGUCAGCUUUCCAUUACUAUAACAAAAACUGAGAUUAUCAACUUUAAAGAAAAAAGGCUCAUUUUGGAUCAUAGUUUGCACUAUUCCAGUCCAUGACUGGUUAGGCCUAUUGCUUUUGGGCAUCUUGGGAUGCAGGCAGCACAUCACCAUGGGAGGACAUGGUAGAGCAAACCUGCUUAUCUCAUGGCCACUAUAUGAAAGAAGAAGAGAAAAUGGUCAGGAACCUACUAUCCUCUUCAAGGACAAGCUCCAAAUGGCCUGAAGACCUCCCACUAGGCCCCUCCUCUUGAACAUUCCAUCAUUCCCCAAUAGUGCCAUGCCAGAGACCAAGUCUUCACCACAAAGACCUUUGGGAGAAACUUAGGCUCCAAACUUCAGCAGAGCGAUAUCCUGCAAAAAUUAAUGGUCAGUGCAGUCAGACUUCCUAAAAUAGUCCAGUUCUCUUGCUUGAGGAUACUAGCACAUUCUGAAAAUCAUUAGAGGCAAUAUUUCACAUGUAGAUGAAUGUGUAAUAAAUGUUAAUCUCAAAUAAUAUGAUAGCCAAAAAUGUAUAAAAUAUAAUUUCCUUCCAAAAUCAUAUAACAUCAUUUUAAAAUAUGGUUUCUAAUAACUGCCAUGUUAAAAAUGUUUCAAAAGAAGAAAAUAGUAUAUAAAGCCAUCAUGCUUAGAACAAAUAAAGCAUACUGUUCACUUUCACAUUAUAUGAGGAUUUGCCUGAGGUUUAGCUAUUUGGGUAGAGUAAAGUGUG
Molecule: long non-coding RNA, 821 nt
Filed under: Marmota monax (woodchuck)
Lineage: Eukaryota; Metazoa; Chordata; Mammalia; Rodentia; Sciuridae
Source: RNAcentral